This 252-nucleotide ribosomal RNA is filed under the name uncultured bacterium. RNAcentral's name for it is "partial 16S ribosomal RNA". It matches the Rfam family "Bacterial small subunit ribosomal RNA", at positions 524 to 776 of the family's 1533-position model. The record is from RNAcentral.
UACGGAGGAUGCGAGCGUUAUCCGGAUUUAUUGGGUUUAAAGGGUGCGUAGGCGGGCUUUUAAGUCCGCGGUAAAAAUUCGGGGCUCAACCCCGUCCGGCCGUUGAAACUGGGGGUCUUGAGUGGGCGAGAAGAAGGCGGAAUGCGUGGUGUAGCGGUGAAAUGCAUAGAUAUCACGCAGAACCCCGAUUGCGAAGGCAGCCUUCCGGCGCCCUACUGACGCUGAGGCACGAAAGUGCGGGGAUCGAACAGG